UUCAGUGUGGCAGACAAAUUGCAGUUGAUUUAAACUCAACUCAUAAUUUUAUAAUUCUCUGAAA
Molecule: transfer RNA, 64 nt
Filed under: Eucoleus annulatus
Lineage: Eukaryota; Metazoa; Nematoda; Enoplea; Trichinellida; Capillariidae
Description: tRNA-Leu
Source: RNAcentral